Long non-coding RNA from Ornithorhynchus anatinus (platypus), 992 nucleotides. RefSeq lists it as uncharacterized. The transcript is spliced from 4 exons. NCBI's taxonomy places the organism in Eukaryota, Metazoa, Chordata, Mammalia, Monotremata, Ornithorhynchidae. The record is from RefSeq and is a predicted model, not a curated record.
UGAUGGUGGGCCCUGAAAUGUGGCUAAAGAGCCUGGGCCUGGGUCUCAGAGGGCCUGGACUUUACUUUCAGCUCCCCCACUGGGAUGCUGUGUGAUCUUGGGAACCAGUUUGGACCAGAGCACUGAACUACCGUUAUCACAGUCAUCAAAAUACUAUCUUUCGAAUUGGCACUAGGAGGCAUGCUGUCCAUGUAGACCUCGGGACACCAGGCAUACACUGUUCACAUGCGCCUCGGCCCCUGAUUGGGCCCGGCACCUGAUCCGGCAGAGACCUUGGGGCAAGCUGAAAGGAGUUCGGGGAAGAGCCUAGCACAGAGAUAAAGGUUACAAUUCCCUCGCAUCUACGCCUCUCCCCACAAGAAUCCCCAACAGCUUCUGCGAUCAUGAAGGGACCUUGUGCAAGGAUUGGACAGACGUACUUAAGUGGAUGGAUGUACUAAAGAUUCUUCGGAAAAGAGAUAUUUGCGAGCUCGUGACAUUUGUAAGUAUGAAAACACGCUUUUAGGGUCUAUCUACCCCAUUUCCUGGGGAAUUUAAGGUACUAUUUAAAGCGCCAGCGGGUUGAGCGGGUAAGCGUCAUCCUCCCUUUAUUUGGGGUAGGAUUCUCUCUGUGCUGUUCCCACAGAGAGGGGAUCCUCUGCGCCGUUCCUGCAGAGAGGGGACUUUUCUGAUUAGGAGAAGGGGAUCACUCUAGGAGUCAUCCUAGAGAGCUCUGGGAGACUCCCAGAUGGCUUUCCUGGUUGGGGAAAAGACUUCCCGGUACAGGGAAGGAUGGGGUCAUGUAAUUUGAAACAUGACUCCUGUUUUACAAAAGUCCUCCCAUCUUGAGAUCAAGGCCGCCUUCACAUAAAAAAAAAAGGGGGAUGACCAAAAAAAAAGAUCCCAGCAAUCAUUAUGGUUUUCACCUUACCUAUUGGAACCCUUCGUCUGUAUUCCAUUACCCUAUUUAUUCAUUACCCUAUUUAUUCAUUACCCUAUUUAUUUUGUUAAUG